This 253-nucleotide ribosomal RNA is filed under the name uncultured bacterium. RNAcentral describes it as "partial 16S ribosomal RNA". It matches the Rfam family "Bacterial small subunit ribosomal RNA", at positions 524 to 776 of the family's 1533-position model. The record is from RNAcentral.
GACGUAGGAGGCGAGCGUUGUCCGGAUUCAUUGGGCGUAAAGAGCACGCAGGCGGUUUGGCAAGUCGGACGUGAAAAUCCGGGGCUCAACCCCGGACCUGCAUCCGAAACUGCCCGACUAGAGGUAGGUAGGGGAGAUCGGAAUUCCUGGUGUAGCGGUGAAAUGCGCAGAUAUCAGGAGGAACACCGGUGGCGAAGGCGGGUCUCUGGGCAGUAACUGACGCUGAGGAGCGAAAGCGUGGGGAGCGAACAGG